Arabidopsis thaliana (thale cress) is the source of this 615-nucleotide long non-coding RNA. RefSeq annotates it as other RNA. NCBI's taxonomy places the organism in Eukaryota, Viridiplantae, Streptophyta, Magnoliopsida, Brassicales, Brassicaceae. The record is from RefSeq. The transcript has a single exon.
ACUUUGCAUUUAUAAAAUAGUAUAGUAUUGCUGCCAUGAGUGGAGAUUUGAAACAGACAAUAAUAAGAAAAGAAAAAAAAUCAAGUUCUCAAAGUUGAUCAUAAAUUAAUUGAGUGAAUUAUUGAAACAUGAGCUGAUGAAUUUGGAGAUUACGAAGUUAUGAAUGAACAUGGUAACAAAUCAACUACUAAUGCUUGGAGAGGAAGAGCAAGCCGCCGUGUUCUCAUGCAGCUCUCUAUUAUGGAUUUUGAUGUUGAGGAUGAUCAGAAUAUGGAAUUGAAACGACAUACCCAUGAUAGAUCUAGUGAUCUACAACCCAUACGACAUCUCCGAAAUGGAUUACGGCGAGCUCCGGCGGUAGGAUUUGAAGAUUCUGUGGAAGAGGGAGUCGAAAAAGAGUGGCGGUGGUGGUGGUGGUGAGAGUGAUGAGGAGAUCGAGGGUUCGAGUUGGGUUGCUGUGAUGCCUCUGUUUCGGACUAUGGCGGAGGAGAAGUCAACGUGAAAGAAAAAAUAAUUUGAGAAGAAGACGAGAGAAACAAAAGAGAUGGAAGAAUAUAUGAGGGCAAAAUUGUCAUAUAUACAGAAAAUACAGAAAAUAUCUCCUUUUUUGGCAAG